GUGGGGAAUCUUCCGCAAUGGGCGAAAGCCUGACGGAGCAACGCCGCGUGAGUGAAGAAGGCCUUCGGGUCGUAAAGCUCUGUCUUCAGGGACGAAAAGGCAGGGGAGUAAUAUGCCCUUGUUGUGACGGUACCUGAGGAGGAAGCUCCGGCUAACUACGUGCCAGCAGCCGCGGUAAUACGUAGGGAGCGAGCGUUGUCCGGAAUUACUGGGCGUAAAGGGCGCGUAGGCGGGAAUUUAAGUAAGGUGUGAAAACUCCGGGCUCAACCUGGAGAGUGCACUUUAAACUGGAUGUCUUGAGGGCAGGAGAGGAAAGUGGAAUUCCUAGUGUAGCGGUGAAAUGCGUAGAUAUUAGGAGGAACACCAGUGGCGAAGGCGACUUUCUGGACUGUACCUGACGCUGAGGCGCGAAAGCGUGGGGAGCGAACAGGAUUAGAUACCCGAGUAGUCC
This 451-nucleotide ribosomal RNA is filed under the name uncultured bacterium. RNAcentral describes it as "partial 16S ribosomal RNA". It matches the Rfam family "Bacterial small subunit ribosomal RNA", at positions 354 to 796 of the family's 1533-position model. The record is from RNAcentral.